This 69-nucleotide transfer RNA is filed under the name Othius laeviusculus. RNAcentral describes it as "tRNA-Trp". Lineage: Eukaryota; Metazoa; Arthropoda; Insecta; Coleoptera; Staphylinidae. The record is from RNAcentral.
AAGGAUUUAAGUUAACUAAACUUUCAGCCUUCAAAGCUGGGAAUAAGGACCCGCCCUCUUUAAGCCUUA